CCUACGGGUGGCAGCAGUGAGGAAUCUUGGUCAAUGGGCUCGAGCCUGAACCAGCCAAGUAGCGUGAAGGAUGACUGCCCUACGGGUUGUAAACUUCUUUUAUAAAGGAAUAAAGUGAGGCACGUGUGCCUUUUUGUAUGUACUUUAUGAAUAAGGAUCGGCGAACUCCGUUCCAGCAGCCGCGGUAAUACGGAGGAUCCGAGCGUUAUCUGGAUUUAUUGGGUUUAAAGGGAGCGUAGAUGGGUUGUUAAGUCAGUUGUGAAAGUUUGCGGCUCAACCGUAAAAUUGCAAUUGAUACUUGAAGUCUUGAGUACAGUUGAGGUAGGCGGAAUUCGUGGUGUAGCGGUGAAAUGCUUAGAUAUCACGAAGAACUCCGAUUGCGAAGGCAGCUUACUAAACUGCCACUGACAUUGAUGCUCGAAAGUGUGGGUAUCAAACAGGAUUAGAUACCCCAGUAGUC
RNAcentral lists this ribosomal RNA (460 nucleotides) under uncultured bacterium. Its description in RNAcentral is "partial 16S ribosomal RNA". It matches the Rfam family "Bacterial small subunit ribosomal RNA", at positions 338 to 795 of the family's 1533-position model. The record is from RNAcentral.